This 253-nucleotide ribosomal RNA is filed under the name uncultured bacterium. RNAcentral describes it as "partial 16S ribosomal RNA". It matches the Rfam family "Bacterial small subunit ribosomal RNA", at positions 524 to 776 of the family's 1533-position model. The record is from RNAcentral.
UACAGAGGAGCCAAGCGUUGUCCGGAUUGACUGGGCGUAAAGCGCACGCAGGCGGAUGUGCGCGUGGGGUGUGAAAUCUGGCCGCUUAACGGCCAGGCGCCAUCCCAUACGGCACGUCUGGAGGGCUGCAGAGGUCGAUGGAAUUGCCGGUGUAGUGGUGAAAUGCGUAGAGAUCGGCAGGAACACCCAGGGGGAAACCAGUGGACUGGCACGGAGCUGACGCUCAGGUGCGAAAGCGUGGGGAGCGAACCGG